AACUAGUCUUAACCAAGCAAAAAGACCUAAAGUUUGACCCCCCGAAACUAAGUGAGCUACUUCAAGGCAGCUUUAUGAGCCAACCCGUCUCUGUUGCAAAAGAGUGGGAAGACCUUCAAGUAGGGGUGACAGACCUACCGAACUUAGUGAUAGCUGGUUGCUCGAGAAAAGGAUUUUAGUCCAACCUAAAAUUACUUAAAUACAUAUUUAUGCACACUUAAUUUUAGAGCAAUUCAAGUAAGGUACAGCCUGCUUGAAACAGGAUACAACCUAAAAAUGUGGGUAAACCCGAUCCAUAAGGCAAUAAAGUGGGCCUAAAAGCAGCCACCUUAAAUAAUAGCGUCAUAGCUUAGUUGCAAAAAGAUCUAAUUACACAAACUCCUCUGAACCCCAUCUUUGUACCGAGCAAUUCUAUAAUCUUAUAGAACCUUUUAUGUUAAAACUAGUAACAAGAAGAACCCCCUUCUCUUUUAUGCAAGCUUAAGUCAGCAAGGACCAACCACUGACAAUUAAC
RNAcentral lists this ribosomal RNA (514 nucleotides) under Leptodactylus fuscus (rufous frog). RNAcentral describes it as "partial 16S ribosomal RNA". It matches the Rfam family "Bacterial large subunit ribosomal RNA", at positions 676 to 2035 of the family's 2925-position model. Lineage: Eukaryota; Metazoa; Chordata; Amphibia; Anura; Leptodactylidae. The record is from RNAcentral.